This 335-nucleotide long non-coding RNA is filed under the name Carica papaya (papaya). Its description in RNAcentral is "long non-coding RNA (CPAP_LNC011549)". The record is from RNAcentral. Lineage: Eukaryota; Viridiplantae; Streptophyta; Magnoliopsida; Brassicales; Caricaceae.
CCCCAUAGGCUCUUUUUUGAGCUCACGGGUUGGGCUUCCUAGAGGGCUCUUGAAUUGACUUUUUGGAACUAGGCCCAAAUCCACUAGAAGACUGUCCUUUCUUCUUUAGAAUGAUUUAGGAAAUUGUCCUUAUUGGAAUUAGUUUCAUGUUUUGUCUUAAAGUCACAGUGAUCUUUGUAAACAUCAUCCUUCAGUAGACUUUUCUUGGAAAACUUCAUGCGGCACACUGAGUGUGCUGUUAAUUACCCUUGUCUUGCAAGUAAUUGUCUUACAAGAAUCUCGAAUACUGUAGGUCUCCUGUCGCUUGCGAGAUUUCUUCUUCGGGAUUAAUUUGG